Molecule: ribosomal RNA, 535 nt
Filed under: Escherichia coli
Lineage: Bacteria; Pseudomonadati; Pseudomonadota; Gammaproteobacteria; Enterobacterales; Enterobacteriaceae
Description: partial 23S ribosomal RNA
Rfam family: Bacterial large subunit ribosomal RNA
Source: RNAcentral
GUUGUUGGGUAGGGGAGCGUUCUGUAAGCCUGUGAAGGUGUACUGUGAGGUAUGCUGGAGGUAUCAGAAGUGCGAAUGCUGACAUAAGUAACGAUAAAGCGGGUGAAAAGCCCGCUCGCCGGAAGACCAAGGGUUCCUGUCCAACGUUAAUCGGGGCAGGGUGAGUCGACCCCUAAGGCGAGGCCGAAAGGCGUAGUCGAUGGGAAACAGGUUAAUAUUCCUGUACUUGGUGUUACUGCGAAGGGGGGACGGAGAAGGCUAUGUUGGCCGGGCGACGGUUGUCCCGGUUUAAGCGUGUAGGCUGGUUUUCCAGGCAAAUCCGGAAAAUCAAGGCUGAGGCGUGAUGACGAGGCACUACGGUGCUGAAGCAACAAAUGCCCUGCUUCCAGGAAAAGCCUCUAAGCAUCAGGUAACAUCAAAUCGUACCCCAAACCGACACAGGUGGUCAGGUAGAGAAUACCAAGGCGCUUGAGAGAACUCGGGUGAAGGAACUAGGCAAAAUGGUGCCGUAACUUCGGGAGAAGGCACGCUGAUA